RNAcentral lists this ribosomal RNA (253 nucleotides) under uncultured bacterium. RNAcentral describes it as "partial 16S ribosomal RNA". It matches the Rfam family "Bacterial small subunit ribosomal RNA", at positions 524 to 776 of the family's 1533-position model. The record is from RNAcentral.
UACAGAGGGUGCGAGCGUUAAUCGGAUUUACUGGGCGUAAAGGGUGCGUAGGCGGUGAUAUGUGUGAUAUGUGAAAGCCCCGGGCUUAACCUGGGAAGUGCAUGUCAAACUAUAUGACUGGAGUAUAAGAGAGGGUGGCGGAAUUUCCGGUGUAGCGGUGAAAUGCGUAGAGAUCGGAAGGAACGUCAAUGGCGAAGGCAGCCACCUGGCUUAAUACUGACGCUGAAGCACGAAAGCGUGGGGAGCAAACAGG